UUUUUUUUAAUUGGUCAAUGCUUUUUUUCUUUUUGUCCUUUUUUUGUUACGGUUUACCUUUUUUUUCUUCUUUAUUUCAAAGAACAAUUGAUCUUUUUUUUAAAUACUAUCAAAAUAAAAAACAACCAAUAAUUAUAAAAAUUGAAUUAUUAUUGUAUAAAAGACUUUUUUUUUCAAAUGCAUAUUUGAUAUCAAAUACAUAAAUACAUAUUUUAUAUAAAUAAUGGUACAACUUAUAUACAUAUUGUAAUAAUAAUUGUAUAGUUUCUAUACACAUCCUAUAUAAUAUUUAGCUAUAGUAAUUAUUUAGAUAACAAUAUUUAUGCAGUUUAUAUACAUCCUAUGUAUAUACAUACUUUAUACAACAAUGAUACAAAUUGUAGACACAUAAUUUUGUCCAUCCGAAAGAUUAAUUUUCACCUAUUUACCUUAUUUUACCGUCCCCAACCAUGUAAUUAUUCCUCAUAAAAGAAUAAAAAUAACAGACUCCCUAAUAAAUAUUAUCCUAUCCUAACCAACUUUAUACCUCAUUCUAACAACCUACCCCACCUCACCCCACACCCUACCUUACCUCACCCCUAUACCCCUAGGCUCUCCCCUCUCUCACGGAUUCCACACUAUAGAUGCAUACACCUCACAUUUUAUCCCUUUUCCAAUAAUAUACACACCCAGAAUACACAAAGGGGCACACACAAUAACAAUUGAAGAAUAGAUACUCACUGGAAUCACACCAAAGGAGGGGCCCACGGGAAUUGACCACCUCAUAAGCACACACUCUCACAACCAUUAUAUUCUCCAUCAUAUUUUCCACAAAGGGAUUCACACAACAAUGGAGAAUAAUUACACACAGCAAUACUACACCCUCCUAAUUUUUGCACACCACUCGCACACACAGCCACACACCCAAUCAAAAAAGGGAGAGAGAGAUUAGAGAGAGAUAGACGAAGGGAGUAGCUGAGUGAUUGAGCGAGAAAAACAUAGGGGAAAAGAGAGAUCGAUUUGACCAAGGAAACUAGUGAAGAAGCAGCGAAACCAGAUCUGUUCCGGCCGUUUGUCAUUCUUUCCCAGUAAAAUUUUCGUCAGAAUCGAUUCUGGCUCGUCUAAUUGAUCCAAACAGACUCAAAAUCUCUAAAAUCUUUUCAGUUUCUUGAUUUUCAGGCAAAUCUGAUCAGAAUCUGACCCAUUUCUUUGGUUUUUUUUGUCGUCAUCUGAGAUCGCCGGAGCUCCGAUACUGCAAAACAGUAAUUCCGACUUAAGUUAGUUUCAAAAACCACCUAGAAAACAAAAGUUCCAGCCUACAAUGGUACCCCGUCGUUGGAAAGACCAUCGGUUUUGAGCAAAACGGGGUUUAGGGUCAAAACUUAUGGUUCGGAGUUCGUAUUGAGUUUAUUUAGCUGGUUUCAAGUCUGUUGGGGUUUUAUUUUUCGAUACCGGGUCGAGUUCGAUCGUUGUUGAGGUUUGGUUUUUGGAUUUUGGUCGUGGUUGUAGUCGGAAAAGCAAUUUCAAUUAAAAAGCAACAUUAAGGUUCAAUUCUCGUUCUCUGUUAAUUCCUAAUUGGUUGAUAUUUUUGCUUGUUAAAUUCAUUACGUGUGGAUUUUGUUUUGUUGAUGUUGAUAUAUUUUGGAUCACCGUGAAUGAUUGUUGAUAUUGAUUUGUUGAUUCUUUAUCGAAAUUGGUUAAUCAUGUGGUUGAAAAUUAAUCUGGGGUGAGAAUUGAAAACUUGUUAAAAUUGGUGAAUAUUGUGGUAUUUUGAUUCAUUGUUGAUGUUGAACGUCGAUAGUAUCAUGUUUUAGUCUAGAAUGAAUAGGUAAACGGUAGGUUCGGGUAGGCAAAUUUAGGCAUAACGGAUUGAUGGCAUGUUUGAAAUAUGUGUUGGAAUGGUUUUGUUUUAUCGCAUUUAAUUCAAUUGUACUCAUUUGGUCGGGGAAUACCCCGAGGUACUUAUAUCUAUUCACCGGGGAAUGCCCUGACGUAUCAUGUACGCAAAAGAAGUUCAUAAUGAAGGCCCGAGACAUCGGAUAAAGCAUUGGAGUAUAGUUUAGGAUUAGUCUGAAUAGGAUUUCUAUUUUUGUAUUGUUCUAUUUUUGGACUGUAUAAUUCGGACUGGACAUUACUUUGGUUUUUUUGGAUUUUGUUUGAGUUGCUUGUUUGUUUGUCUUGUAUGUUUAUGUGGUUUAUAUAUUUUAUAAUGUCAAAUUAACCGAUACACUCCACUAAGCGACCGUGGUCGAGCCAUGGGAUCGAGGGGUGCAUAACACCUUCCCCUCGGUCAAUAGAAUUCCUUAGCCAGAAUCUCUGUUCGCAAACCAGUUUUAAAGAGUCAAAUUAUUUUGAAAAGGAUUGUCCAAAGGUGACUUGGCACACCGGAUUAUGCCAAGUGGCGACUCUGAGUUUUAAAUGUAAACGUAAUCCUUUUUUGGAAUAAAUCUUCAUUUUGUCACUUUAAUAAUAAAAACCCUUUCGAACUUAAAAAUUCAAUCUUUUUGAGAGUUAAAAAAAUGGGUGUGACACAAAUUCUAUACAGAUCAUAUAUAUAGAAAAAUAUAUUUUAUAUAAUACUUUUUUGAUUUUCUUACACAUUAUUUACAAUAAUUAUAUAAAUUUUAUAGAUUCUAUACGAUCUUUGGCUAUAAUUAUUAUUCGGAUACGUACUUUAUACAAGAACUACACAGUCCUAUACACAUUCUAUACAUACAUAUUUUAUACAACAACUAUAUAGUUUUUGUAUUCAAUCUUUUUGAGAUUUAAAAAAAGGGGUGUGACACAAAUUCUAUACAGAUCAUAUAUAUAGAAAAAUAUAUUUUAUAUAAUACUUUUUUGAUUUUCUUACACAUUAUAUACAAUAAUUAUAUAAAUUUUAUAGAUUCUAUACGAUCUUUGGCUAUAAUUAUUAUUCGGAUACGUACUUUAUACAAGAACUACAUAGUCCUAUACACAUUCUAUACAUACAUAUUUUAUACAACAACUAUAUAGUUUCUGUACAUAUUCUAUAUAUUUUUUAUCUAUAUUUUAUACAUAUACAUAUUUUAUAUAACUAUACAAUUUUUAUACAUAUAUCAUAUAUAAGUACAUUUUUAUAUAACAAUUAUACCAUUUUUAUAUAAUUAUAUUUAAUUAUUAUUUUUAACACAUUUUAUACAAUUUUCAUACAUAUAUCUUAUAUUAAUACAUAUUCUAUUUAAUAAUUAUAUGUUUUUUACAUAAUUAUAUUUAAUUAUUAUUUUUUAAAAUAAAAAAACAGAUUCUUUAGUAGUUAAAAAUUUUAUAGAAAAAAAAACUAUAAUAUUUUAAAAGAAGGUGAAAAAAUACUGAAAAUGGCCAAAAUGGCCCAACAGGAGCUGAAGCAGCCCAUGACCAUUAUAUGACAAUAGUUUACCCGACUGGUCAUUUAUUGUCAAGUAGCCCAAACAUGGGCUAUUUCUUUUGAGAGAGGCCACCCGAUGUCCUUUUUCCAAUUUUAACGUUCCUAACAACUUCGUUAGAGGAUUAGUUGAACCAUUACCUAGAUUUUUGUUUUAAAUAAAAGAUUUUCAAAAACACAUUUUAAAGCUAGUUACUUAAUUUUCCUAAAAUUAGGUGGUGUCUCUCUAAUAUUUUUUUUUUCUAAAAAUAAAAUAAAUUUUGCUAAAGUUAUGAAGGUUGUAACACAUGUUAAGUAAUUUUCUUAUGAUGAUCUUCUCUAAGUGUGACUUUUGGCACAAAUUUGAAUUAAAUAAACCUUCAAAGUGAAUAUGAGACACUAGAAGAAUUUUAAUAGCAUGUCUUUCUUUUUCUUUCUGAUUCUUUUUUUUAGAAUUGGGGUAGGAUAAGGGAAAAUAGGAAGGGUAUUACAAGGAGAGAACUAAAACCAUCACCACCAUGAUCAAAGUUUAAGUAGUCAAUCAACUGAGCUUUGGCCAAACAUAGGACUAUGAUCUCUUUCCUUUUUAAAGUGAUCACUUUCAUUAAAUAGCGUAAAAUCUUCCCCCCCCUCCCAUUUCUUAUUAUUUAUGAGAAGAAAAAUAUCACAAUACGACACUACACUUAAUAGCAAGUAUAUUGAAUAAAAUUAGCCUCUACGUGCAUUUUGUACGUCAGACAUGUAUCUUCUACAUUUUAGGCGCCUCUCAUGUGCCGUAUGUACAUCUUAUGUAUCCAUGUGCAUAACAUAUAUCUUGUGUGUCGUUCCGCUUGUACACUUGUCAAUUAGUCUCUUGUCAUUUAAACUUUUAUUUAAAUAUUCCCCAAGUUGCUACUCAGAAUUACGUUAAUAUGGUUUUAGUCAACUUUUAGAUUUUGUACUAGUUUAGUUAAAUUGUUUUAACUUUUGUACUAUUUAGGUCAAAAUUUCCAUGUCUCUAUUUUGUCCUUGUGUAUAUUAUAAUUUGUAUUGAGAUAACUCAAGUGACAAAUUAUUUAAAAACUCUUGUCUCAUGUUUUGAUGAUGACUAAUUGAUAUUGGAGGACUUGAUCCCUUGCAUAUCUUGUUCUGGUACAGUUAUCACAUCUCUACACAAUAUUUUUCACUAGUGCAACAAACUGUGCAGGUGCACAACAUACCUGAUUAGACACUUGGUCCAAUCAAAAUUCAAGCCUUAUUAUCUACACUACUAUAAAUACAAAGAGACGCCUCUUCCUUCACAAUUUUUGCAACAUUAGAGAAAUUAUUGACGGUGGAAAAAACUCUCAUAGGUCAUGUUUUGAAUUGUUACUGCUUUUAGCUAAGAAUUAUUGAGUCUUGCUUUGUAACUGAUUUACUCAAUAUAUAAGAGUAGAACUUUCUUAUUACUGUAGAGUUUCUUAGGUAGAGUUACCUAAGUAGUGUUGAUUAGAGUUAAUCGAUAUUGAGAGUGCAGGUGACAGAGUUGUCAAGAGGUGGUUGUAGUAGAGUUAUUUCAACUUGAAGAACUUAUAGUUAAGUUGAUUGGAGGCUAUAAUCAAUGAGUUUUAGUAUAGUGGAGUUUGAGAGCUUGUUAGGGAAAGACAUGUUUUUUUCCCUUGAGCAAGGAGGUUUUCACGUAAAUCUGCAUGUUUUUUUAUUUUCUACAAUCAUUGUUUUAUUGCUAUACUCAUCACAUUAGGGACCUGGUCCUUUAAUGAUGGUUCACCCACCAUGUUUUAACAAUUGGUAUUAGAGAAAGGAUACUCUAAAAGGUUAACAUCUAGAGUGAUUUUUUGAUCAUGGUUGCUCCACCUAAUCUGGUGGAAGGACAAUCCACUACUAGACCACCCCGCUUUAAUGGGCAAUACUAUGGGUAAUGAAAAACUAGGAUGUAUAUCUUUAUCAUGGCUGAUGAUAGUGAACUGAUGGAUAUGAUACUUGAUGGUCCUCAUGUUCCAGUAAGAGAGGUCAAAUAAGGAGACACACUAGAAUGAUCAUCAAAACCAGGAGAGAAUAUGAUGAAGAAGAUCGUACGAAGAUUGAAAAGAAUUUUAAGGUAAAAAAAUUAGUUAUGUGUGGAAUAGGACCUGACGAAUAUAAUUGAUUUUCUGCUUGUGAAAAUGUGAAAGAAAUCUGGGAUUGUCUGAGAAUAGCACAUGAAGGUACUACAGAUGUGAAAGAGUCCAAAAUGGAUAUGUUGACCACUCAAUAUGAAGCUUUCUCCAUGAAGAGAGGAAAAACCAUUCAAGAAAUACAUACAAGCUUUACCUUAAUCACUAAUCAGCUACACUAUUUGGGUGAGGUUAUUUCUCUGCAUAAAUAAGCAAGAAAAAUCCUAAGAGUUCUUCCCAAGUCCUAGAAAAGCAAAGUUGAUGCUAUCACUGAGGCCAGAAAUCUGAAGACACUUAUCAUGGAUGAACUGAUUAUAAAUUUAAAGACUCAUGAACUAAAAAACAACAAGGUCACAAAAAGAAGAAAGCUAAAAGAGAAAAGUCUCUAGCAUUGAAUGCCUCAAAGUUUGAGCCAAGUGAGGAGGAUAUUUAUGUUACCUACUUGGCUAAGAGUAUUGUAAGGGCUCUGAAGAAAAGUUGUCAGUUUUAAAGAAAAGGAAGCAAUAACAUGAAGGGAGGUACUAUUGAAGUAUGUCACAAGUGUGGGCAACCUGGGCAUUUCAUCAAAGAUUGCCCACUAUAUAAAAUGGAAUAUCAAGAGUAUCUAAAUUCAGGUUGAUACAAAAGAAAGAAGAAGGACCAGGUCUAUAAGAAGUCAAGAAGAAUGGUUGCGGCUGACUAUGCAGUUAAACAGGCUUUAGCAGUCUGCGGAGAUACUUUUAGUGAAUUUGAUGAAUUCAAAAAGCCUGAAGAUACUUGUAUGUUAGUAGUGGAAGACAGUGAAAUCACCUAUGAUUCAUUGUUUUCUCUCAUGGCAAAGUCAGAUGAUGAAGAAAAGAAUGAGACAACUUUUUUUGAUAUUAAGCAGAACUUAAAUAAUUAUUCCCCCAAGAAGAUAAAGAAACUUGCAAAUGUAUUGUUUGAUUUUGUGUAUGAGCUUAAUUUUGAGAGAGAAUUACUUGAAGAUAGGGUAGAAAACUUGGAACAUAAAAAACUAGCGUUAACCAUCCAAUUGUCUGAAGUAGGAAAACAAUCUUUAAAACUGAAAUUAGAAAACAAGGAUUUGAUGGAUAAACUGAAGAUAAUAGCUGAAAUUAAUGGGAAAGGUAAGAGUGAAGUCUCAAAUCAGAUGGAUCAUGAAGAAAAAUUGAAGAAUUCUCAAAAGCUUCUUAUGGCUGCUCUUCAUAAGAAUGAAGAAUCCAAAAGUGACCUGGUCCAUUGAUGUACCUUGGGAACUUAGCAUAUUCGAUGCUUAAAAUAAAUAAUUUAUGCAUAUACUAAGGCUAUUUUAAGGGAUAUGAUGUGUUUGUUGCUUAAGUGCAGGGAAUUUAGGAAGAAAGUUGCUUGGAAUGAAAAAUGAAAAAAAAAACUCUAAAUAUGUUGAAGUCUAAUCAGCUUAUGAGUCUGCCUACAAGUCGUCAAGUCACUAUAAGAAUCUUAACCUUACUUGUAACCAACAUAGUAGCAAAAGUCACAAUGAAAAAGCUAAUUAAAGAAUGACCACGACUCGUAAGGAGUGACCACGAGUCGUGAGAAGCAGUUGUAAAGAGAUCAGAAGUCAAAGGUAACAUUCAGAGGUGAAUUCAUAGAAGAACACGAGUUGUACGAUCUUAUUACGACUCAUAAUGAGAAAUCGUAAAGAGACAAAUGUUCAAUGCCCUGGAAGUCUAAGGCUCAAGUGAUGAAGAGUGAAGACCAUGAGUCUUAAGGACUGACUACGACUCAUGGUGAUGAAUCAUAUGGACAAUAAAAGCUUGAAUCCCUGAAGAUCAGUCACUAGAGAUCCUAUGAUUAGCAUCGUACAACUCGUAAGGAGACCUUACAAGUGGACCACACGAGUUGUAACGAGUGUCGACUUACUUUUCCUAUUUCAUUUUUAUUAGGAUUUCUUUAUUAUUUUGAGAUACUAUAAAUACCUUAGAGUUAUUCCUUUAUUAGGUUACACACUUUCACAUUACUUUUGAUACUUUUAACAUACUUUGAUCAUUGAGAUUUUGUUCUUGAAAUUUUGGGUUUUUAUUCAAUUGAAGACAUUGGGUUUUCUCUCUUUCUUUAUUAUGCUAUUUAUUGCAUCUGUUCUUUAUUGAUUGUCAUGUAUUGUUUCAUGAAUAUGAGUGGCUAAUUUUCUUGACUAAGGUUGUGGGAACUAUGGCUAAUUAGCUAUGUAAGGGAAGUAAGAGACUCAUCCAUUCAACUGUUAUUACAUAUAUUGUAAUCUUCAUCGUAUUUAUUGAACCCAAGCUGCUGCAGAGGCUUGAGGACUUCCUGUAUUUGAGAACGUCCUUACAAGGGAGUUUAAGAUUUGUAAAAGGAGAUUACAACAGUGAUUUGAGGCUUCCAAACCUCAUCUAAUUAACUCGAGACUCAAAAGGUGAGAGUUGUACUGAGGUUAAAGACAAGGGAUAACAAGGCAACACCUUGAGACUCAUAAGGUAAAGGGUAAAAUCUGUUAAUACAUUCACAUGACGAUCGAUAUUACAUAACUUGUCAACUUUGCAUGCAGAGUAGGAGGGUAGGUGAACUGAGUAUGAGUCUUACGUAGUCGAGAAUCUAGGGGUAACACAAUCCUAGUGUUUGUCUUCUAUUGCUUACAUACUCAAGCAUUCAAGUUCUAUUGCUUGUUACUUUAGACUUAAAAUUCCCCCCAUUUACUUUUCUGCAUUGCUCGUGAAUUUUGUCAAGUUUGAGAUACUAUUCAAUAUUUUUCCUGUGGGUUCGACCCCAACCUGGUUUGGGUUAAUAUAUUUGACAUCGAUCGAAGCAUACUUCUUUGAAGUCAGUUUUGGGCGACAUCAAUUUUUAUGUCUAAAAGAAGAUCUCAAUAAAUUUCUAAAAUGGGCCACAUCUUUAAAGAUCCUUACUAAUAUAACUAGUCAUGGGAUUAAUAAUGGUAGAGUUCUUGGGUAUUAGUAUAACACCUACAACUCUAAGGCCCAAGGCAAGUAUAUUUUUGUUGCCAAAACAAAGCCAACAAUUCUCUAUUCACUCACUGUGGUAGGCAUAGCCACUUGAAGGAGAAAUGAAAGGGCUGGCUUAAAGUUAAAAUGAACACUACUAAAUAUGUUCAAUUGAAGCAAUCCUUCAACAAAGGAACAAAUUGUUUGACGACUUUUAAGAAGACCAAAUUACCUAGUUGGACCAAGAAAAAUUUGAUCACUGCUUCGUAUUUUCUUGGGAACUCAAACUCUAGUGGGAUACCAAAUCUAAAAAAUGAACUCUGUAUGCAGGUAGGAGUAGGAGAAGGUAGUCAAAACUGGUUCAUGGAUAGUGGAUGCUCUAACCAUAUGACUAAUAAAGAUGAAAACUCUCUCUCACUCAAGGCACUUUAAGGUGGAGAUGUCUCUUUUGGAAAUGAAAAGAAAGGUUACAUUUAUGGUCUUGGAAAGAUAGGGAAAUCCUUAAAUCAUGAUAUUAAGGAUGUUUAUUAUGUGAAUGGUUUAAAGUACAAUUUUAUGAGUUUUUGUCAAAUCCGUGACAAAGGAAAUAAGGUGAAGUUCUUAUCUGAUGGAUGCACUGUGUUAAAUUUAAAGUUUGGGAAAGUCAUUCUCAAAUAUAAAAGGUGCAAGGACAUGUAUGUGGCUGAUCUAGAAUCUGUAGCUAACUGUGAAUUGACCUGCUUAAGUGCUCAAAGUAAAAAUGCUGACUUGUGGCACAGAAGGCUGGGAUAUGUAAGAUUUUCUUUACUAAAAAAAUUGAUCUCAAAGGACCUGGUCCGUGGUGUUCCAAAGCUGCAUUUUUCAGCUAACAAGGUUUGUGAUGCAUGUGUCAAGGAAAAAUAAACCAAAUUUUUUUUUUAAGAAAAAGAAGCAAGUAAGCACUUUUAGACCCCUUGAGUUAUUGCACAUGGAUUUAUAUGGACCAGUUAAUGUCCAAAGUAUAGGUGGGAAGAGGUAUGUUUUGUUAUUGAGGAUGACUAUUCUAGAUCACCUAAAUAAUGUUCUUAAGAACUAAGGAUGAAACUUAUGAUGUUUUGGUGGUCUUUGCCAAGGAAAUUCAGAUGAAGAUAACUGCAUUGUAGGAUUUAGAUCUGAUCAUGGAACUGACUCUGAAAACUCCCAAGUUGAAGGAUUCUGUGCUGAAAAUAGCACCAGUCAUAAUUUUUCUGCUCCUAGAACUCCUCAACAAAAUAGAGUAGUUGAAAGAAAGAAUAGAACUCUCAUAUAAAUUGCCAGGACUAUGCUGAUUGACAGUGGUCUGCCAAAAAACUUUUGGUCUGAAACUGUCAACACUGCCUGUUAUGUGAUAAAUAGAUGCUUGAUCAGAUCUCUCUUGAACAAAGCUCCAUAUGAACUUGUGUUUAGUAAAAAUCCUAAGCUUGGUUAUUUUAGGCCCUUUGGGUGCAAAUAUUUUGUUCUAAACAAUGAAAAUAAUGAACUUGAGAAAUUUGACUCUAAAAAUGAUGAAAUUGCAGGUAUAUAUAUAUAUAUAUAUAUAUAUAUAUAUAUUUGGACAAGUUUAGGAUUUUUACAGAGUUUUCAACAAAAGGACUCUGUGUGUAGAUGAAAAUGUAUAUGUAGUCUUUGAUGAAUCAAUAAUGCAAAAAGAUUCUAACUGGAGGUAUAGACUCUGACAUGGAAGAACUUAUUCCUAUUCAACGGGAUGGCAUAACUAAAAUUGGAGUUCAAGAACAAAAGGAUACAGUUGAAUAUGAUGAAGGUGAUGGUGAAUCAGGUCCUCAGUUGCUGACCAAAUGCAAGAGGAACAUCAAGAAGAACCUAUUUAAAACUCUCAAGGACCUAGUCCCAGUAGACCAUAGUAAAAA
Molecule: long non-coding RNA, 10234 nt
Filed under: Capsicum annuum
Lineage: Eukaryota; Viridiplantae; Streptophyta; Magnoliopsida; Solanales; Solanaceae
Description: long non-coding RNA (CANN_LNC012632)
Source: RNAcentral